ACUGGGCUUGUGGGUAUUUGUCUCUCUCCCCGCCCCUGAGAGUCUGGGAAAGGCCGACACGUGGUGCCUUCAGGCUCUGGGGCCUAGGACCUUUGUGGUAGCAGAGUCAGUGCAGAGAACCAGAAAAUACCAGGUUGCUUAUAGAAGGAUGCCAUGUGCUUGCUGGAGGUCUCAGGUGCAACCAAAUUGCUUGCAGCUAGGAGGACCUUGAAGAGAAAUGGAACCAGCCCGCCAAACCAAGAAGGGUUAGCACUUUUGCUAGGAGAGCUGACCACGCACAAACAGAUGAGAACCAAAAUCGAGUGAAGAGGAUUGAAGAUGAACCCACAUUUUAAAAGUUCUUAUCUGCUGGAGGUGGCAUUACCUGUGACUUCGCUUCACUUCUCCAUACAUGGCUGUUAUAGCAGCCCUAGGUCCCUAAAGAAUUUCCCACUGAAGCAGAUAACUUGGGAAAAUGUUGGGGAUCAAGGUUGAAUGAAGAAGAGCAGACCUACAAAGCUAAGAAAAUCCAGCUUUCUGAAGCACAUUUAAUGACUUAUGAUGAGACUUAUGUGAUGUGAGACCUGAGAAAACUAUGAUAGAAAGAAGCAACUCAAGCUGCAAGGAUAUUCCUCAUGUAUCAUGCAAGGAUAUUCCUCAUGUAUCAUGUUGCUCUGCUCCUGGGUCCAAGCUAUUCUCCUGCCUCAGCCUCCCAAGAAGCUGAAACUACAGGAACAGGCAACUACCUGGCUUGCAAAUACCACUGCUAAUAAGAAGAUAUUACAUGGAUCCCUGAGGUUGGUCCCCAAUACUACAAGGCAAUUUGAUAUCAUAAUAGAACACUGCAGACACAAUGCUGAGUGAAGAGGAGUAGAAAUGAGAAGACUUGGUUGAGCAGAAACUGAAUUCUUGAAAGGAAGAGAUGCUCGAUGAGGGCAUGGAUUCCUGAGGUCUGCCCCAAUACUACAAGACAAUUUGAUAUAAGAAAACACAGCAGAUACAAUGCUGAGUGAAGAAGAGUAGAAAUGAGAAGAUUGGUUGUGCAGAUACUGAGUUCUUGAAAAGAGGAGAUGCUUGAUGAGAACAUGGAUCCCUGAGGUUGGUCCCCAAUACUACAAGGCAAUUUGAUAUCAUAAUAGAGCACUGCAGACACAAUGCUGAGUGAAGAAGAGUAGAAAUGGGAAGACUUGGUUGAGCGGAAACUGAAUUCUUGAAAAGAGGAGAUGCUCGAUGAGGGCAUGGAAGCCUAAGGUCUGUCUCCAAAACUGUAAGACUAUUUGACAUCAUAAUAAAACACUGCAGAUAUGAUGCUGAGUAAGAGUGGAAAUGGGAAGACUUGGUUGUGCAGUAACUGAGUUCUUGAAAAGAGGAAAUGCUUGAUGAGGGCAUAGCUCACUAAGGUCUGUUCCCAAUACGAGAAGACUACUUGACAUCAUAAUAAAACACUGCAGAUAUGAUGCUGAGUGAAAAAGAGUAGAAAUGGGAAGACUCGGUUGUGCAGAAACUGAGUUCUUAAAGAGAGGAGAUACUUUAUGAGGGCAUGGAAAUCUAAGGUCUUUCCAGAAUACCACAAGACUACUUGAUAUCAUAAUAAAACACCGUAGAUAUGAUGCUGAGUGAGUAAGAGUAGAAAUGGGAAGACCUGGUUGUGCAGAAACUAAGUUCUUAAAAGGAGGAGAUGCUUGAUGAGGGCAUGGAUCCUUAAGGUCUGUUCCCAAUACAACAAGACUAUCUGUUAUCGUAAUAAAACACUGCUGAUAGGAUGCUGAAUGAAAAACAGUAGAAAUGGGGAGAUUUGGUUGUGCAGAAGCUGAGUUCUUAAAAAGAGGAGAUGCUUGAUGAUGGUGAGUGGAUCUCAUCUCAGUUCAAUAUCCAAUGGAAGCCAAAAGCAAAUGGUUAAGAGUGGAAAAUGAUUACACAUAUUGAGCAGAAUAUUAGGUAUUCGUGCUUUCUGUUCUCUUUGUCUCUUCAUGGCAUUUUGUUUUGAAACGUAGAGUAAUGUAUCUUUAAAAAUCCAAACAAAAAGGUGAUAAGUAUCUACUUUUCUAAAGUAAUAUUUGUGAGGCCCUAUUUUAAGGUUUACCUUUACUCAUAUUGAAGGCGUGAAAUGUUGACAUAUAAGACUUAGUAGUGGUGACAUUCAAAUGAAUUCACCCUCCUCAAAGGUUUGUUAAAAUGCACACUUGAUCUGAUCCAAACCACAGUGUACACAGUAAUCCACUUUUAAUACAGAUUUAUUUUUUCAUGAAAUUAACAAUGUAUGCAUGUAUUUAAAGAUAUCCCUGGAAAUAAUCCAAAAGUUCUUAAGUUGCCUUGACUAGUUGUAUGGUAGUGGUCUUCUUCAUUAUUAAUACAUGGAUUUUUCUUAAUCUUUGUCAAGCACUAUUCUUUAAUUUACUAGUUAAUCCUUAUACCUAAAAGACAUUAUAAAACUCUCAGAGACACACACAAACACAACCACACACAGCCCAUAAAGUCUCAGGAAAUACCUGAAGAAUAUGUAAUGGCAUGGGCACAUACUAUGUUUUGAUGUUAAAUGAUGAGACCAUGAGAUGAAACUCUGAUUCACCUUGACAGGAAUUAAGCAUAUGUACUAUGAGUAUCAUGCCAUGUGGAGUAUACAUGGCAUGCAGUAAGGAGUGUCACCUGGUUUCUCCUCUAACGGCUCAUGCCAAAUUGUUUCCUACAAUGUAUACAUAAGGCUCUUAGAAUAGGAAGAAUUCCCUGGAUGCCUGACAGGGGAGCCAGGGCCAAGACCUCUGGGAUUUUUAAAUUGUUGCUGGAGAUCUUUUCCAAGCUUUCAGCCCUUUUCUCCUUUUUGUGCGUUCAUUCACUGAAGCUAUCCCCUGAAGAAGACAGUUUAAUGCCAUGGAAAUUAUUGGACCUGUAACUCUGAAGUAAAUCAAACCCACACAGACUAGAUUAGGAGAAUAAUUUCUUAAAGAACAAGAUUCCUGACAAGGGUGGUUGGUUUAGACCUUGGUUUGAUUUCAAGUGAAAAACAAAAAGAACACAGCAGUAAGACCAGCUGGCUCUAAACUGGGCAAAAUAGAAGGCAUCCAUGUUUGGUGGCUCUUUGUGUAUGUGUGGUGUUUUUUCAGACAGGAAGGGCGGGAGAAGAGGGCUACAAACAGGGCUUCUUGACAUAUCUGGAGCGCUACUGCCAUCGCGAGGAAGACGUUUAACAAAUUACAGUCGUUUAACGCCAUUACAGAGUUCUCUGAGCACUACCUGUUGGGGUAGGUGUGGUCUGGUAAGAGGUGAAAGAGGCUUGGCCUCCAUGCUGGGCGUCCUUGCCUACUUGUCCAAGGCCUUAAAAGAGACCUGGACAUUGGCAAUAUCUUGCUAUAGAACCUGGAGUGUGAAGGUUCUACUAGCAAAUCCUGUAAACUUCCCUUGGAAUAAACCUGUUGUUUGUGCGAGGUACUGAUUCUAUCAGAGACCCAAAGACCCAUAGCAAGAUGCCAGCAUGAGAAAGCUUGCUGACUCUUGCUCCAAGGGACAGGAAGAAGAGACAGAUGCCUACAAGAGCCUCAAUGUGUGUUUGAGUGGGUUCCUGCAGUCCUGCCCACAUAGGAGGAACUGAGGCCCCGCCCCACAACUUCCUGUGCCAGGACCGCCUGGCAGCUGCUGGUUCACUCCAAGCCCUUCACUCUCCAGGUUCUACACCAAGAUACUACCAAUGUCUAGGUCACUCUUCAGGCGUUAGAGGAGAAGGCAAGAAGACGUCACCUGGAGGCCAAGCAUCUUCCACCUCCCCAUAGAUCAGCCUUUCCCCACAGCUAGGCUUCCUGGGAAGGAGGCUGUACUGGAGUAUUCUUUCUUUAAACGAUUUCCUCACGGUGGCAGUAGUGCUCCACAUUUUCAGGGAAGCCCUAUCUUUGAGCCCUUUCUCCUGCCCUUCCUCUGUGAAAUAAGCAAACCAGAGAUAAAGGCGCCACCAAACAUGGCUGCCUGGAGACUUGUCCAGUUUGGUGCAACGUGGUCUUACUGUUGAAUUUUUUUUGUUUGUUUUUGUUUUCCAUUUAAAAACAAAAUGCAGCUUAAACCACCCAUGUUUCUCAGGAAUUUUGUUCUUUCAGAAAUUAAAUACACUCCUCACUGAGUCUAUCUGGUUAGAUUUACUUCACACAGUUGCAGGUCUAGCAAGUUCCAUGGCAUCAAAUUGUCUCCUUCAGGUGAUAAAUUGGGUGGAUGAAGUUACAACAGCAAAGAUAGAUAUCCAAGAGAUAGAUAUCAAUAAGAUAGAUAACCAAUGCAUGAAAUUUGAAACACGCUAAGUGAAAAAAGCAAGACUUUGAAAAAGCCACUUAUUGUGAUGAUCAGUAGUGAGGGAAAGUAGAUGAGUGUUUGCUAGGGGCUGGGCAGAGAGUGGAAUGGGGAAUGACUGCUUCAUGGGUCCAGGGUUUUCUUUUGUGGUAAUGAAAAUGAUUUGCCACUAGAUAGAGGUAGUACUUGUACUGCAUUGUGAAAGUACUAAAUGCCACUGCAUUUCACACAUUUUAAUGGUUAAUUUUAUGUUAUAUGGAUUUUACCAACUGUUUUAAAAAGUGCCAGUGAUUUUAAACCUGUCAUUAUUUCCAUGAAUAAUUAAUUAUAUUUGAAAAGUACUCAAGUUAUCAGUGAAGAAAUCUUGUUUUAACAGUUAUACUACAAAGUGGCUGGGCUUGGUGCCUCAUGCCUGUAAUCCUAACACUUUGGGAGGCUGACAUGGGAGGAUUGCUUGAGGCCAGGAGUUCGAGAUCAAACUGGUCAACCUAGGGAAACCCCAUAUCUAACAUUAAAAAACAAAAACAGUUGUGCUACAGGGGAAUUUGAACAUUAGGUUAUAAAAGUCCAUAUUAUAUGUGCAUAAUGAACAGAUGAAAAUACCUAGCACAGACAUUUUAAAAGUCAUUAUUUCUUCUCACUAUAUGAGACCCAGCAUGUUUUCUGCUUUAUAAUACCUUUAAGUUCUUCUAGAGUAAAAUAUAAAAAAAUUUCAAGUACUCAGAAGUAUAUAUGGAUGUAGAUACAUUCAAGAAGUAUAAGACAAUGCUGAAGAUUUUGUACAAAUUUCAAACAGUAUGCAUGCAAAUUAUAUUUAAACUGUGUUGAGUGUGUGUGUAUUUAUAU
Cercocebus atys (sooty mangabey) is the source of this 5094-nucleotide long non-coding RNA. RefSeq lists it as uncharacterized. The record is from RefSeq and is a predicted model, not a curated record. The transcript has 11 exons. NCBI's taxonomy places the organism in Eukaryota, Metazoa, Chordata, Mammalia, Primates, Cercopithecidae.